RNAcentral lists this ribosomal RNA (501 nucleotides) under uncultured Glomus. RNAcentral's name for it is "SSU rRNA". It matches the Rfam family "Eukaryotic small subunit ribosomal RNA", at positions 569 to 1075 of the family's 1831-position model. Lineage: Eukaryota; Fungi; Glomeromycota; Glomeromycetes; Glomerales; Glomeraceae. The record is from RNAcentral.
AGCAGCCGCGGUAAUUCCAGCUCCAAUAGCGUAUAUUAAAGUUGCUGCAGUUAAAAAGCUCGUAGUUGAAUUUCGGGACCAAUAUGUCGGUCGUGCCUCGGUACGUACUGGCAUCGUUGGUUUCUCCCUUCUGACGAACCAUGAUGUCAUUUAUUUGGUGUCGUGGGGAAUCAGGACUGUUACUUUGAAAAAAUUAGAGUGUUUAAAGCAGGCUCACGCUUGAAUACAUUAGCAUGGAAUAAUGAAAUAGGACGUUUGAUUCUAUUUUGUUGGUUUCUAGGAUCGACGUAAUGAUUAAUAGGGAUAGUUGGGGGCAUUAGUAUUCAAUUGUCAGAGGUGAAAUUCUUGGAUUUAUUGAAGACUAACUACUGCGAAAGCAUUUGCCAAGGAUGUUUUCAUUAAUCAAGAACGAAAGUUAGGGGAUCGAAGACGAUCAGAUACCGUCGUAGUCUUAACCAUGAACUAUGCCGACUAGGGAUCGGAUGAUGUAAUUUUUAAUGA